Molecule: ribosomal RNA, 253 nt
Filed under: uncultured bacterium
Lineage: Bacteria
Description: partial 16S ribosomal RNA
Rfam family: Bacterial small subunit ribosomal RNA
Source: RNAcentral
GACGUAGGGCGCGAGCGUUGUCCGGAUUUAUUGGGCGUAAAGAGCUCGUAGGCGGCUUGUUGCGUCGGCUGUGAAAUCCCAUGGCUCAACUGUGGGCUUGCAGCCGAUACGGGCGGGCUAGAGUUCGGUAGGGGAGACUGGAAUUCCUGGUGUAGCGGUGAAAUGCGCAGAUAUCAGGAGGAACACCGGUGGCGAAGGCGGUUGCCUGGGGCUUUGCUGACGCUGAUGCGCGAAAGCGUGGGGAGCGAUCCGG